GGGUCUUUAGUUCAGUUGGUUAGAGCACCGUGCUCAUAACACGGGAGUCGCAGGUUCAAGUCCUGCAAGACCCAC
RNAcentral lists this transfer RNA (75 nucleotides) under compost metagenome. Its description in RNAcentral is "tRNA-Met". It matches the Rfam family "tRNA". Rfam says of the family: Transfer RNA (tRNA) molecules are approximately 80 nucleotides in length. Their secondary structure includes four short double-helical elements and three loops (D, anti-codon, and T loops). Further hydrogen bonds mediate the characteristic L-shaped molecular structure. tRNAs have two regions of fundamental functional importance: the anti-codon, which is responsible for specific mRNA codon recognition, and the 3' end, to which the tRNAs corresponding amino acid is attached (by aminoacyl-tRNA synthetases). tRNAs cope with the degeneracy of the genetic code in two manners: having more than one tRNA (with a specific anti-codon) for a particular amino acid; and 'wobble' base-pairing, i.e. permitting non-standard base-pairing at the 3rd anti-codon position. The record is from RNAcentral.